AUUGAACGCUGGCGGCAUGCUUUACACAUGCAAGUCGAACGGCAGCGCGGGCUUCGGCCUGGCGGCGAGUGGCGAACGGGUGAGUAAUACAUCGGAACGUGCCCAGUCGUGGGGGAUAGCUCGGCGAAAGCCGGAUUAAUACCGCAUACGACCUGAUGGUGAAAGCGGGGGAUCUUCGGACCUCGCGCUAUUGGAGCGGCCGAUGGCAGAUUAGCUAGUUGGUGGGGUAAAGGCCUACCAAGGCGACGAUCUGUAGCUGGUCUGAGAGGACGACCAGCCACACUGGGACUGAGACACGGCCCAGACUCCUACGGGAGGCAGCAGUGGGGAAUUUUGGACAAUGGGCGAAAGCCUGAUCCAGCAAUGCCGCGUGUGUGAUGAAGGCCUUCGGGUUGUAAAGCACUUUUGGCGGGAACGAAAAGGACUGUGCCAAUACCACGGUUCGAUGACGGUACCCGCAGAAUAAGCACCGGCUAACUACGUG
RNAcentral lists this ribosomal RNA (484 nucleotides) under uncultured bacterium. RNAcentral's name for it is "partial 16S ribosomal RNA". It matches the Rfam family "Bacterial small subunit ribosomal RNA", at positions 29 to 507 of the family's 1533-position model. The record is from RNAcentral.